RNAcentral lists this ribosomal RNA (468 nucleotides) under uncultured bacterium. RNAcentral's name for it is "partial 16S ribosomal RNA". It matches the Rfam family "Bacterial small subunit ribosomal RNA", at positions 28 to 507 of the family's 1533-position model. The record is from RNAcentral.
GACGAACGCUGGCGGCGUGCUUAACACAUGCAAGUCGAACGGAAAGGCCCUGCUUUUGUGGGGUGCUCGAGUGGCGAACGGGUGAGUAACACGUGAGUAACCUGCCCUUGACUUUGGGAUAACUUCAGGAAACUGGGGCUAAUACCGGAUAGGAUCUCCUGCUGCAUGGUGGGGGUUGGAAAGUUUCGGCGGGUGGGGAUGGACUCGCGGCUUAUCAGCUUGUUGGUGGGGUAGUGGCUUACCAAGGCUUUGACGGGUAGCCGGCCUGAGAGGGUGACCGGCCACAUUGGGACUGAGAUACGGACCAGACUCCUAUGUGAGGCAGCAGUGGGGAAUAUUGCACAAUGGGCGGAAGCCUGAUGCAGAAACGCCGCGUGCGGGAUGACGGCCUUCGGGUUGUAAACCGCUUUCGCCUGUGACGAAGCGUGAGUGACGGUAAUGGGUAAAGAAGCACCGGCUAACUACGUG